UGGUGAGUUUCAUGGCCUUUCCUUUUCGACACAGCAGGGCACGGCUGUCACCCACGCUUGCCACUACCAGCUCAAUACCAUCCCGCAGCAGGGCCACCGUUGCAGUGGUCCCAGAGUUCAUCAGAGUUGCUACAAAUGUCAUAUCAGAGAGAGAGGUUUUAUCACUGCCUCAAAGCACAGGACCAUUUACAACAGAGCAACAGUGUCGACUGGUUAAGACAAAGACAACUUGUGCUCUACAUUACUAGUAUUAUUACUGCUGCGGUGACUUGGUUAACUGACUUAACCAACAAGUCCACAGUGAAUGUUCACCAUGGUGACACAGGAUGCACCUUGGUCUAUGUUACAGCUGUGAUACAGACUACAAGAUUCAAAACCACAUAGAUGCCAGUAGUCUGUUGAGCAUUCAGGUUCUUAACACUCACUGGACACUUUUUACUGCAAGUCAUCUCAACUAAUGUGACAAAGAGGAUGUGGGAACCUUCCAGUAGUCCAGGCUAGGAACCGCCGGACUCCUUCACCUGGGACAAAAUUAAGCAGAUCUCUCUUUCCACUGAAGCCCAGCAUAUAGCGUCCAGGGCCUCCAGUUCUAGAGCUGCUGACCAGGCUUGCUCCCCAGGCAGGGAACAUACAGAGAAGUACAUCACGCCACAUCUGUUGUAAUGGGAAUUACUCCUUUGCUGUGUUCCUGCUGACCCUGUUGGAAUAGAUGGCUAUACAACCUGGGACGAUUAGCAGCAACAUAUGGUGCACAGAUUCCCUUUUGGUUGUAAGGAGGGAGACUCGACAGUAAGUCAUUAACCGCGCGUUCACUUGACACACACUUACUUGAUAUAUCUUUCCAUGUUCUUAGCGCAGAAGUCUGCUGCUGCCGCCCCGCCAUGUCCAUCGUAUACUGCAAAGUACAGGACAUCCUCAGUCAGCUGAGCGUAAUCAAAGCGGUCUUCAUUUUCCUUCCGCUUCCCAAUAUGACUGGCACAGCCCACUUUGCUCAGGCUGACUUUUGGAAUCGGCUUUCCAUACUUUAUGCUAGGUGGGAGGAGAAUAGGUUCAUCAAUGCGAUUGUCCCAGAUGCCAAAGGUGUCCCACGUGGCGGGCCGCCCGCUCCCGUCCGAAUCAAAGCGGGAUGCCCGGCGUUCGGAGGUGGAAAUGUAGCACUCGACUGUCAGACGCUUGUCGUCUUGCAAGAGGCGGGAUGUCAGCAGGGCUCUCCUUCGUACUUGAGAACCUCCGUUUCUUACCAAAUGGAUUAAAGCAGCUGUUGACAUAACUUGUCUUCGCAAAGAUUCGUAGGGAUAAAAGAGAUGCAGCAGCUGGAAUGUCUUCAAGAACAAAGAGAAAACUGAUCAAGAAUCAGCACAGGAAGGGGGACUAUCAGUUACAUCAUUCAGGAAACAAUUUCACAGUGGGAGCCCGCUAAUCGUGCAUAGCACAGCACUGCCUAGAAGAGGCUACAGAGCCUCUGCAUGACUCAUCGAGAAACAAUCCUGCACAGACCAGCCCACAGUUACAGUUCUGAUGAGGACUGCUGCAGAUAAAUUGAGGCAAGGCAGCUCCACUGGCCACCUCCAUCGUGAUACCCCUAUUUUCAGAGGUUGCAAAGGAGCUAAUGAGAGUAAAAAUGACUUUGUUCUAUCUCAUCAAAACUAGGAAAAUGUUGAAAUAUGAGGUAAGGUCGUUGAAUGAGUUUAUCAUGCAUACAGCUCAAGCAAUUGCUAUAGCAUAUGUGCUGUGAAUCGUGGAGAGUGUGAAAAAAUGUACUUGCUUUGAUUUUAAAGAGCUGAAUUCCUGCACAGGAGACAUGA
Long non-coding RNA from Centrocercus urophasianus (Greater sage-grouse), 1805 nucleotides. RefSeq lists it as uncharacterized. The transcript is spliced from 4 exons. The record is from RefSeq and is a predicted model, not a curated record. NCBI's taxonomy places the organism in Eukaryota, Metazoa, Chordata, Aves, Galliformes, Phasianidae.